RNAcentral lists this ribosomal RNA (441 nucleotides) under Pelagophyceae sp. RCC5671. Its description in RNAcentral is "SSU rRNA". It matches the Rfam family "Eukaryotic small subunit ribosomal RNA", at positions 627 to 1068 of the family's 1831-position model. Lineage: Eukaryota; Pelagophyceae. The record is from RNAcentral.
CUCGUAGUUGGAUUCCUGGCCUGGGGUAGCCGGUCCGCCUUGCAAAGGUGCGCACUGAGCGGCCUCGGCCAUCCUUGGGAAGAGCAGUCCUGGCAUUCAGUUGUCGGGGUUGGGAUUCCCGACGUUUACUGUGAAAAAAUCAGAGUGUUCAACGCAGGCUUACGCCUUGAAUACAUUAGCAUGGAAUAAUGAGAUAGGACCUUGGCGGUCUAUUUUGUUGGUUUGCACGCCGAGGUAAUGAUUAAAAGGGACGGUUGGGGUUCUUCCUAUUCAAUUGUCAGAGGUGAAAUUCUUGGAUUUAUGGAAGACGAACUGCUGCGAAAGCGUCGAACAAGGACGUUCUCAUUAAUCAAGAACGAAAGUUAGGGGAUCGAAGAUGAUUAGAUACCAUCGUAGUCUUAACCAUAAACUAUGCCGAUUCAGGAUUGGCGGUCGUUUGUU